CCUACGGGUGGCUGCAGUGGGGAAUAUUGGGCAAUGGGCGAAAGCCUGACGCAGCGACGCCGCGUGGGUGACGAAGGCCUUCGGGUCGUAAAACCCUGUUGCAGGGGACGAAGGAAGUGACGGUACCUUACCAGCAAGCCCCGGCUAACUACGUGCCAGCAGCCGCGGUAAUACGUAGGUGGCAAGCGUUGUCCGGAAUUAUUGGGCGUAAAGGGCGUGUAGGCGGUUAGGUCAGUCGAAUGUGAAAUCCCACGGCUCAACCGUGGAACUGCGUUCGAUACUGUCUGACUUGAGUAUGUGAGAGGUGUGUGGAAUUCCUAGUGUAGCGGUGAAAUGCGUAGAUAUCGGGAAGAACACCAGUGGCGAAGGCGGCUUACUGGCCAGCAACUGACGCUGAGGCGCGAAAGCCAGGGGAGCGAACGGGAUUAGAUACCCUGGUA
RNAcentral lists this ribosomal RNA (440 nucleotides) under uncultured bacterium. Its description in RNAcentral is "bacterial SSU rRNA". It matches the Rfam family "Bacterial small subunit ribosomal RNA", at positions 338 to 792 of the family's 1533-position model. The record is from RNAcentral.